AGGUAGUAACAACCAUUUGAGUCUGGGAUUUCUGAAUGGGGAAACCCACUUACAUAAGUAAGUAUCAUUAACUGAAUACAUAGGUUAAUGAGGCGAACCGGGGGAACUGAAACAUCUAAGUACCCCGAGGAAAAGAAAUCAACCGAGAUUCCGAAAGUAGCGGCGAGCGAAAUUGGACUAGCCCUUAAGCUUUACACGCGUUAGACGAACGGUCUGGAAAGUCCGACGAUACAGGGUGAUAGUCCCGUAGUUGACGACGUGUGUUCAGUGAAAUCGAGUAGGGCGGGACACGUGAUAUCCUGUCUGAAUAUGGGGGGACCAUCCUCCAAGGCUAAAUACUACUGACUGACCGAUAGUGAACCAGUACCGUG
RNAcentral lists this ribosomal RNA (371 nucleotides) under Vibrio parahaemolyticus. Its description in RNAcentral is "partial 23S ribosomal RNA". It matches the Rfam family "Bacterial large subunit ribosomal RNA", at positions 84 to 505 of the family's 2925-position model. The record is from RNAcentral. Lineage: Bacteria; Pseudomonadati; Pseudomonadota; Gammaproteobacteria; Vibrionales; Vibrionaceae.